This 253-nucleotide ribosomal RNA is filed under the name uncultured bacterium. Its description in RNAcentral is "partial 16S ribosomal RNA". It matches the Rfam family "Bacterial small subunit ribosomal RNA", at positions 524 to 776 of the family's 1533-position model. The record is from RNAcentral.
UACGAAGGGUGCAAACGUUGCUCGGAAUUAUUGGGCGUAAAGCGCACGUAGGCGGCAUUGCAAGUCGGAUGUGAAAUCCCUCGGCUUAACCAAGGAAGUGCAUCCGAAACUGCAGUGCUUGAGUACUUAAGAGGAGCGCGGAAUUCCCGGUGUAGUGGUGGAAUGCGUAGAUAUCGGGAGGAACACCAGUGGCGAAAGCGGCGCUCUGGGCCUAAACUGACGCUGAGGGGCGAAAGCGUGGGGAGCGAACGGG